Long non-coding RNA from Dermacentor silvarum, 567 nucleotides. RefSeq lists it as uncharacterized. The transcript is spliced from 3 exons. The record is from RefSeq and is a predicted model, not a curated record. Lineage: Eukaryota; Metazoa; Arthropoda; Arachnida; Ixodida; Ixodidae.
UCCACUUUUGUUGCAAGUGCUCAGCGUUUUUUAAGAGAUUACGAAGCAAACAUUAUAAGGAAUACUGUCUUAUCUUUCAGGGUAUUCCUGUGGCCUACUGUUUUCAUUGCACUGGGUCACACCUCGUAUACGAACUACGACAAGACUCACGAGAACAUUGAUGUUCAAGUCCUCACCAGAAAGCUGACAAACUGCGUGAUUGCGCCGCCGUCUAUAUACGAGCCUCCUGCGGUGUCCAACUAUGUGCCAUACAACAACAGCCUGAUACAGGCCUUGGAUUUCGUGGAGGACAUUCAGACCCAUUUAAACAAUUGCAACGUGAGUAACACCUAAGCAAUUUCCAUAUGCCGUGUCGGUGACCCUUAAGGCGCGGUGGUUCAAGUCAACUGGCUCAAAAGUGGGACUGUUUGAACGCUGCGACAAUAUCACAAAGGCUGUGGAUGUUAAUCCAUAUUCACUUGGCAAGGUUUGGCUGGGAGACACGGUAUACGACUAGUAGUGUGGCCUAUCUGUCGCUAUUUGCGUUUGCUUUUUCUUUUUGCUCGUACGUGUAGCUUCUAAACACUG